GUGCCGCCCCGCGGUAAUACGGAGGGUGCAAGCGUUGUCCGGAAUCCCUGGGCGUAAAGGGUGCGCAGGCGGGGCAGCAAGUCGGAGGUGAAAGCCCAUGGCUCAACCAUGGAAGUGCCUUCGAAACUGUUGCUCUUGAGUCCCGGAGAGGCUGACGGAAUUCGUGGUGUAGCGGUGAAAUGCGUAGAUAUCACGAGGAACACCAGAGGCGAAAGCGGACAGCUGGACGGGUACUGACGCUCAGGCACGAAAGCGUGGGGAGCAAACAGGAUUAGAUGCCCCAGUAGUCC
This 290-nucleotide ribosomal RNA is filed under the name uncultured bacterium. Its description in RNAcentral is "partial 16S ribosomal RNA". It matches the Rfam family "Bacterial small subunit ribosomal RNA", at positions 505 to 796 of the family's 1533-position model. The record is from RNAcentral.